Molecule: long non-coding RNA, 767 nt
Organism: Taeniopygia guttata (zebra finch)
Lineage: Eukaryota; Metazoa; Chordata; Aves; Passeriformes; Estrildidae
Source: RefSeq, a predicted model, not a curated record
CGAGGUAUUACCCCGAAGCCACGCUAAAGGGCUGUAAGAAUACUCACUGUCUCCAGCUGAACAGACCUUUUAUACUGUGGGGAGAACGUGAAGAGCUGACUAAAAAUAUGCUGAACUGUUACAUAGACAGAGACCGAGGAAAUCCUUAUUUGUCUUAACACUCCAGCACUGUGGACUGCAAGAAAAAAGCUGUCCUUUGCAGUUCCAGCAGCGGAUCUCUGCUGGGUCUCUGUUUCCAGACUGGCACCUGCCUGUGAAAAGUGCGGCUCCGUGCUCUGGGGAUGAUGUGUCCCAGUGUGCUGCAACUGGCAGAAAUUCCAGAUGCUCUGGGCUUACCUGUGCUUUGUGUGAGGUGACAUGGAGUGGCACUCCCCUGGAGAUUCCCUGUUGUGUAGGGCAGGUGCUUAGAGUCUGAACUAACUCCAGGAAGGGGCUGAUGUUUCUCAAGAUGUUGUUACAUCAGUGGCCACCCGGAGUGAAUGUGUCGUUCUGUUACUGAUCUCAGCAGCAUCACACAGAGAUCUUCUGGUACAACUUUAUGGAAAAUGGAAAGACCAAGUUUCUAAAUUUCCUGAGAAAGUCAACAUUUUCUUCAUAAGCUAUUCCGUGUCUACUAUACCAGUGCUAAUUUAUACUGUCAUUACCAGGUAGUCAAUAGAAGGGCUGGAACAUUUCUAGAUGUGUUUUCCCGCUGAGGAAAGCAUCUGUAAUUGAAAUUUGUAUUAGAGAUUAUUAAAUGCUUCAGCUAAUAAAAUACUCCUGUACAA